UGCUGUGCUGCGCUCCAUGGUUUUGCAAAGAGUAGGACACAACUUAGCGACUGAACAAUAAAAACUACAUUUCUUUCCUCUUUUCUGCAUGAUUUGGGUUUACAUUGCUUUUUCUUUUCUAAUUUAAGGUGGAAGCUUAGAUUACUGAUUUGAGACUUCUUUUCUAAUGUAAGCAUUUGUACUAGAAAUUUCCCUCUAAGCACUGUUUCAGCUCCAUCUCUUAAUUUUCUUACAUGCUCCAUUUUAAUUGCAUUCAGUUAAAAAUAUUUUAAGUUCCCCUUUUGAUUUCCUCUUUGAUCCAUGGAUUAUUUAGGAUUUUGGUGUUUAAUUCCCAACUGAUCAAACAGUUUUCUGACAUCCUUCUCUUACUGAUUUCUGUUCUAAUUCUGUUAUAGUCAGAGGACAUGCUUUGUAUGUUUUUGAUCAUCUUAAAUUUGCUUGGGUUUUUUUUUAAUCAGGACAUGCUUUAUUUGGAUGUUCCUUGGGCGCUUGAGAAGGACGCACACCCUGCUGCUCUUGUGUGGGUCAUGCUGUGAGUGACACCAUGUCCAGUUGGUUGAUAAUAUUGUUCACUUAUUUUAUAUCCUUGCUGAUCUUCUGUCUAUAAGCUUUAUCUAUUACUGAGGGAGAAGCACUGCUGUGUGUAUGGGACCCCUUGGACUGUAGCCCGCCAGGCUCCUCUGCCCAUGGGAUUCUCCAGGUAAGAAUACUGGAGUGGGUUGCUAAGCCUUCCUCCAAGGGAUCUUCCUGACCCAGGGAUUGAACCCAUGUGUCUUGAGUCUCCUGCAUUGCAGGCAGAUUCUUUACCGUUGAGUCACUGAGGAAGCCCAAAGAACUGCUGACUCCAACUAUAAUUGAGAGUUUAUCUAUUUCCUUUUCUUUUUCACUUUUUGGCCACACCACACAGCAUGUGGAAUCUUAUUUCCCUGAACAGGCAUCAAACCCACACCUCUUGGAGUAGAAGCUCAGAGUCUCAACUGCUGGGCCAUGAGGGAAGUCUCAGAGUUGUCUAUUUCUACUUUCUUUUUUAACCUUUACUCCUCUGGCUGCACCGGGUCUUCCUUGCGGCACGUGGGGCCUUUGGUCUUCCUUGCGGCACGCGGGAUCUCUAGUGUGGCACACAAGCUCUGACUUGCAGCAUGUGGGAUCCAGUGCCCUGACCAGGAAUCAACCUCAGGCCCUCUGCACUGGGAGCUCAGAGCCUUAGCCAGGGACACCAGGGAGUCCCUAUUUCUACUUUUAGUUCUGUCCAUUUAUUAUGCCUUCUUGAAGAAUUGUCAGUUUUAUCAAUAUAAAUCCUCUUUAUCCUCCGUAAUUCUCUUUGUUCCAAAGUUUCUGUUGUGUGGCAUUAACAAAACCGCUCACUCCUGUCUUCUUCUGAUUAGUUUUUGCAAGUAUGUCAUCUUUCAUCCUUCUACUUUAAUCUAUGUAUCAUUAUAUUUGAAGUAAGUUUUAGAAAUUGUAAUUUAUAAUGAGAAAUAAAUAUUUGGUCUUCAUCUGUUUCUGAUUCUCAGUUCCUAAAACCCUGCAUUUUCCUAGGCUAUGAGAGAAAUCCAUUUACACCUGCUGUAAUUAUGGAUAAUUUUAAUUUGGUCAACAUUACUUGGUGUCAGAAGUGGGAUCCAGAAAGGACCCCUGAUAACUCCAAUGUAGUGAGCGAACCACUGUGAACUCACAGAGCCCAGGGAGCUCACUGCUUUCUUGCUGACCCUAGAGUUUAAGUCCUGGGCUGUUUCUGGAGACACUGACCAUCUGUUCCUAUUGAAUCAGCUACCACCCUCCUUAUGGGCAACAACUUCAACAGAUUUUGGCAAAACCCACAGCUCUUUCAGUCAAGACUCAAAUUUAAGUCCCUCGAAUCCUCUCCCCAGAACGAACCAACAGGCUUAAGUAGAGAAGGUCCUCCAGGUUUAAAGCCCGUGACAGAGUUCCAGGGCUCAGGGCCUCCCCACCCCAUACAUACUGCUAAGCGGAACCUGUGAGAAAGCCCAGGGGCUGAGGAUGGAGGUCUGUCUAGGAUCUGCAGGCCAUAAUCAACGCUGCUGCCCCUCAGCACCCCAUUGUUCUUAACCCCCACCCUCUACAAGCACCCACUCCUACUGAAAGCAACAUUUCACCAUAACCGACCUACGCGGUGCACACAGCAGCAUUCCAGCUGGCAGAGCGAGUGCCCUCCUGCCUCCACCCGGGAGGAUGGUAGCACACCUGGACAGUGGUGCCCCAGGUGUCACCAAAACACCCUCUUUUUUCCAUAAAUCUUAAAAGCUGACUUGGAUGGCAUCGUGUUUUUUGAAGUCUUGACUCCGCUAUGAUACACAGCUAACCUCUGAGCAGCACGGGUUUGAACUGCGUCGGUCGUCUUAUGUGCAGCUUUCCCGAUAAAGUCUACAGUGCUGCUGCGGCUGGCUGGCUCCUGCUCCGGGAGCGCAGAUGCAGAGGGCUGACCGGAAAGUGGCGCUCCGUUCCCCCAUCGUGCCGACUGUGCGGCCCCCUGGAUGGCAGCCCGCCACGCUCCUCUGUCCACGGGAUUUCCCAGAUGCCACACUCUCACCAGCCGCCUUGGUCAUCAUCAAGACGCUGAGCGUGACUCAUCCCAGACUUGACUCCCUGGAGGCUAAGAGAAUCCAUCUCACUGAUAUUUCGUGCAACAACACUGCUCUCAGAGGAACCACUGGCCACACUUCUGUUAUGGUCUGAAGAGAUGCUCCCCAAAUGACAGCCCGAGAAGGCCAGCGUAACAACUGGCCUCAGAAAAAGACAAACAGUAUUGAAAAUCCAGUGACUGUUGGUUCCAUAAAAAGAACUCUGCAGCUGCUGCUGCUAAGUUGCUUCAGUCGUGUCCAACUCUGUGCGACCCCAUAGACGGCAGCCCAGCAGGCUCCCCCAUCCCUGGGAUCCUCCAGGCAAGAGUACUGGAGUGGGGUGCCAUUGCCUUCUCCCAAAAAGAACUCUAGCUUGGGCCAAAUAUCAAUCCAGCUUCCUGAGGAAUUCUAAGAUUUGCAUUCCUUAGUACAUGCACUAAACCAUAGAUCCACUGACAAAACGAUAGCCUUCAUGAACCAACACUGGUGGGGAAGUAUUAAUAAGGCCUCAAAAAGUGCCUGCCUGGCUCAUCUCAUCUGUCCAAAUACAAUCCGGGGAAAGUCGCUCCCAGAGACUCUGCAUCGCCUCACGCCCACUGGAGGUUUGGCAAAUGUGCUUCCUAUUGCUUCCCUC
Molecule: long non-coding RNA, 3216 nt
Organism: Bubalus bubalis (water buffalo)
Lineage: Eukaryota; Metazoa; Chordata; Mammalia; Artiodactyla; Bovidae
Exons: 4
Source: RefSeq, a predicted model, not a curated record